RNAcentral lists this ribosomal RNA (511 nucleotides) under uncultured bacterium. RNAcentral's name for it is "bacterial SSU rRNA". It matches the Rfam family "Bacterial small subunit ribosomal RNA", at positions 369 to 896 of the family's 1533-position model. The record is from RNAcentral.
AAGUGGGGGAAACCCUGAAGCAGCAACGCCGCGUGAGGGAUGAAGGCCUUCGGGUUGUAAACCUCUUUUAUCAGGGACGAUGAUGACGGUACCUGAUGAAUAAGCCACGGCUAACUACGUGCCAGCAGCCGCGGUAAUACGUAGGUGGCAAGCGUUGUCCGGAUUUACUGGGCGUAAAGAGCGCGCAGGCGGUCGUUUAAGUCGAAUGUGAAAGCCCCCGGCUCAACUGGGGAGGGUCAUUCGAUACUGAUCGACUUGAAGGCAGGAGAGGGAAGUGGAAUUCCGGGUGUAGUGGUGAAAUGCGUAGAUAUCCGGAGGAACACCAGUGGCGAAGGCGACUUCCUGGCCUGUUCUUGACGCUGAGGCGCGAAAGCUGGGGGAGCAAACGGGAUUAGAUACCCCGGUAGUCCCAGCCGUAAACGAUGGACACUAGGUGUUGGUGGUAUCAACCCCGCCAGUGCCGUAGCUAACGCAUUAAGUGUCCCGCCUGGGGAGUACGGCCGCAAGGCUA